UGGAAGGGCAGUGAAUAUCCCCUCGUGGGGACAGCGGCCCUUUUGAGGGCAACAUGGAACAGAUGGGGGGGAGUGUUUUGUGACCCAGGCCUAACUGGGCCCUGGCCGAGGGGUUCUGAGCAGCUAGUAGGAGGUACCCUCUUGCCUUGGGCAGCUUGGGCAUGCAGGAGGAAUCUUCAGCUUCAGAACUAAAAAAUGAGGCUUUCUGACUUUGCACCUGGCCAGUUGGCUUGAUGAAGAAGGAAAUGGCAACCCACUCCAGUAUUCUUGCCUGGGAAAUCCCAAGGACAGAGCAGCCUGGCCGGCUACAAUCCUUGGGAUUGCAAAAGGGUAGGACAUGACUUAGUGACUAAUCAACAAACAAGUUGGCUUAAAAGGCAAACUUCACUGAGAG
This is a long non-coding RNA of Bos taurus (domestic cattle), 394 nucleotides long. NCBI's taxonomy places the organism in Eukaryota, Metazoa, Chordata, Mammalia, Artiodactyla, Bovidae. The record is from Ensembl.